Molecule: ribosomal RNA, 216 nt
Filed under: uncultured bacterium
Lineage: Bacteria
Description: partial 16S ribosomal RNA
Rfam family: Bacterial small subunit ribosomal RNA
Source: RNAcentral
GCAAGUCGAGCGGCCUUCGGGCAGCGGCGAACGGCUGAGUAACACGUGGGAACCUACCUUGAACUCAGGGAUAACUCCUCGAAAGAGGGGCUAAUACCGGAUGUCCCGGCAACGGGAAAGAUUUUUCGGUUCAAGAGGGGCCUACGGCCUAUCAGGUAGUUGGUGGGGUAAUUGCCUACCAAGCCUAUGACGGGUAACUGGUCUGAGAGGACGACC